AGAACGAACGCUGGCGGCAUGCCUAACACAUGCAAGUCGAACGUGAUCCAGGCUUCGGCCUGGUGAAAGUGGCAGACGGGUGAGUAACGCGUGGGAACCUGCCCUGUGGUAGGGAAUAACCGUGGGAAACUGCGGCUAAUACCCUAUGAGUCCUUCGGGAGAAAGAUUUAUCGCCAUAGGAGGGGCCCGCGUCGGAUUAGGUAGUUGGUGGGGUAACGGCCUACCAAGCCUUCGAUCCGUAGCUGGUCUGAGAGGAUGAUCAGCCACACUGGGACUGAGAUACGGCCCAGACUCCUACGGGAGGCAGCAGUGGGGAUAUUGGACAAUGGGGGCAACCCUGAUCCAGCAAUGCCGCGUGGAUGAUGAAGGCCUUCGGGUUGUAAAGUCCGUUUCGGCGGGGAAGAUGAUGACGGUACCCGCAGAAGAAGCCCCGGCUAACGUUCGCGCCAGCAGCCGC
This 457-nucleotide ribosomal RNA is filed under the name uncultured bacterium. RNAcentral describes it as "SSU rRNA". It matches the Rfam family "Bacterial small subunit ribosomal RNA", at positions 26 to 518 of the family's 1533-position model. The record is from RNAcentral.